AUUGAACGCUGGCGGCAUGCCUUACACAUGCAAGUCGAACGGUAACGCGGGGCAACCUGGCGACGAGUGGCGAACGGGUGAGUAAUGCAUCGGAACGUGCCCAGUAGUGGGGGAUAGCCCGGCGAAAGCCGGAUUAAUACCGCAUACGACCUAAGGGUGAAAGGGGGGGAUCGCAAGACCUCUCGCUAUUGGAGCGGCUGAUGUCAGAUUAGGUAGUUGGGGGGGUAAAGGCCUACCAAGCCGACGAUCUGUAGCUGGUCUGAGAGGACGACCGGCCACACUGGGACUGAGACACGGCCCAGAUUCCUACGGGAGGCAGCAGUGGGGAAUUUUGGACAAUGGACGCAAGGCUGAUCCAGCCAUGCCGCGUGCGGGAAGAAGGCCUUCGGGUUGUAAACCGCUUUUGUCAGGGAAGAAAUCUUCUGGGUUAAUACCUCGGGAGGAUGACGGUACCUGAAGAAUAAGCACCGGCUAACUACGUGCCAGCCGCCGCAGUAA
Molecule: ribosomal RNA, 498 nt
Filed under: uncultured bacterium
Lineage: Bacteria
Description: partial 16S ribosomal RNA
Rfam family: Bacterial small subunit ribosomal RNA
Source: RNAcentral